GAUGAACGCUGGCGGCGUGCCUAAUACAUGCAAGUCGAGCGAACGGACGAGAAGCUUGCUUCUCUGAUGUUAGCGGCGGACGGGUGAGUAACACGUGGAUAACCUACCUAUAAGACUGGGAUAACUUCGGGAAACCGGAGCUAAUACCGGAUAAUAUUUUGAACCGCAUGGUUCAAAAGUGAAAGACGGUCUUGCUGUCACUUAUAGAUGGAUCCGCGCUGCAUUAGCUAGUUGGUAAGGUAACGGCUUACCAAGGCAACGAUGCAUAGCCGACCUGAGAGGGUGAUCGGCCCCACUGGAACUGAGACACGGUCCAGACUCCUACGGGAGGCAGCAGUAGGGAAUCUUCCGCGAUGGGCGAAAGCCUGACGGAGCAACGCCGCGUGAGUGAUGAAGGUCUUCGGAUCGUAAAACUCUGUUAUUAGGGAAGAACAUAUGUGUAAGUAACUGUGCACAUCUUGACGGUACCUAAUCAGAAAGCCACGGCUAACUACGUG
RNAcentral lists this ribosomal RNA (497 nucleotides) under uncultured bacterium. RNAcentral describes it as "partial 16S ribosomal RNA". It matches the Rfam family "Bacterial small subunit ribosomal RNA", at positions 28 to 507 of the family's 1533-position model. The record is from RNAcentral.